This 1451-nucleotide ribosomal RNA is filed under the name uncultured organism. Its description in RNAcentral is "SSU rRNA". It matches the Rfam family "Bacterial small subunit ribosomal RNA". The record is from RNAcentral.
UGAACGCUAGCUACAGGCUUAACACAUGCAAGUCGAGGGGCAUCAGGAAGAAAGCUUGCUUUCUUUGCUGGCGACCGGCGCACGGGUGAGUAACACGUAUCCAACCUGCCCUUUACUCGGGGAUAGCCUUUCGAAAGAAAGAUUAAUACCCGAUAGCAUAAUGAUUCCGCAUGGUUUCAUUAUUAAAGGAUUCCGGUAAAGGAUGGGGAUGCGUUCCAUUAGGUUGUUGGUGAGGUAACGGCUCACCAAGCCUUCGAUGGAUAGGGGUUCUGAGAGGAAGGUCCCCCACAUUGGAACUGAGACACGGUCCAAACUCCUACGGGAGGCAGCAGUGAGGAAUAUUGGUCAAUGGGCGCUAGCCUGAACCAGCCAAGUAGCGUGAAGGAUGAAGGCUCUAUGGGUCGUAAACUUCUUUUAUAUAAGAAUAAAGUGCAGUAUGUAUACUGUUUUGUAUGUAUUAUAUGAAUAAGGAUCGGCUAACUCCGUGCCAGCAGCCGCGGUAAUACGGAGGAUCCGAGCGUUAUCCGGAUUUAUUGGGUUUAAAGGGAGCGUAGGUGGACUGGUAAGUCAGUUGUGAAAGUUUGCGGCUCAACCGUAAAAUUGCAGUUGAUACUGUCAGUCUUGAGUACAGUAGAGGUGGGCGGAAUUCGUGGUGUAGCGGUGAAAUGCUUAGAUAUCACGAAGAACUCCGAUUGCGAAGGCAGCUCACUGGACUGCAACUGACACUGAUGCUCGAAAGUGUGGGUAUCAAACAGGAUUAGAUACCCUGGUAGUCCACACAGUAAACGAUGAAUACUCGCUGUUUGCGAUAUACAGUAAGCGGCCAAGCGAAAGCAUUAAGUAUUCCACCUGGGGAGUACGCCGGCAACGGUGAAACUCAAAGGAAUUGACGGGGGCCCGCACAAGCGGAGGAACAUGUGGUUUAAUUCGAUGAUACGCGAGGAACCUUACCCGGGCUUAAAUUGCAGUGGAAUGAUGUGGAAACAUGUCAGUGAGCAAUCACCGCUGUGAAGGUGCUGCAUGGUUGUCGUCAGCUCGUGCCGUGAGGUGUCGGCUUAAGUGCCAUAACGAGCGCAACCCUUAUCUUCAGUUACUAACAGGUCAUGCUGAGGACUCUGGAGAGACUGCCGUCGUAAGAUGUGAGGAAGGUGGGGAUGACGUCAAAUCAGCACGGCCCUUACGUCCGGGGCUACACACGUGUUACAAUGGGGGGUACAGAAGGCAGCUAGCGGGUGACCGUAUGCUAAUCCCAAAAGCCUCUCUCAGUUCGGAUCGAAGUCUGCAACCCGACUUCGUGAAGCUGGAUUCGCUAGUAAUCGCGCAUCAGCCACGGCGCGGUGAAUACGUUCCCGGGCCUUGUACACACCGCCCGUCAAGCCAUGGGAGCCGGGGGUACCUGAAGUACGUAACCGCAAGGAUCGUCCUAGGGUAAAACUGGUGAUUGGGGCUAA